GACGAACGCUGGCGGCGUGCUUAACACAUGCAAGUCGAACGGUGAAGGGACUGGUUUUGCUGGUCCUGGAUGAGUGGCGAACGGGUGAGUAACACGUGAGUAACCUGCCCCCUUCUUCUGGAUAACCGCAUGAAAGUGUGGCUAAUACGGGAUAUUCUGGGUCUGUCGCAUGGUGGGCCUGGGAAAGAUUGCGCCUUUUUUGGUGUUUUUGGUGGGGGAUGGGCUCGCGGCCUAUCAGCUUGUUGGUGGGGUGAUGGCCUACCAAGGCGGUGACGGGUAGCCGGCCUGAGAGGGUGGACGGUCACACUGGGACUGAGACACGGCCCAGACUCCUACGGGAGGCAGCAGUGGGGAAUAUUGCACAAUGGGCGCAAGCCUGAUGCAGCGACGCCGCGUGAGGGAUGGAGGCCUUCGGGGUGUGAACCUCUUUCGCCAGUGAAGCAGGCCUGCCUCUUUUUGUGGGUGGGUUGACGGUAGCUGGAUAAGAAGCGCCGGCUAACUACGUG
This 506-nucleotide ribosomal RNA is filed under the name uncultured bacterium. RNAcentral's name for it is "partial 16S ribosomal RNA". It matches the Rfam family "Bacterial small subunit ribosomal RNA", at positions 28 to 507 of the family's 1533-position model. The record is from RNAcentral.